CGGGCGGCCGUGACCCUGCUGGAGUCCGGGGGGGAACUCCAGCCCACCGGGGGGUCCCUGACUCUGCUCUGCCGAGGGUCUGGGUUCAAUUUUGGGAACCACGACAUGUACUGGAUCCGCCAGAGCCCCAGGAAGGGCCUGGAAUACGUUGCAGGGAUCUACAGCAAUGGUGGCAACACCUGGUACGCUCCAUCAGUCAAGGGCCGGUUCAGGAUCUCCAGGGACAACGGGCAGAGCUCGGUGACGCUGACCAAGAACAACCUCAAGGACGAGGAUUCCGGCGCCUAUUUCUGUGCCAGAUGUGCUUACAGUGGUUGUGGUGCUGGUGGUGCUCAUGGUAUUGAUGGUUUUGGCCCAAUCACCAUCUCCGCAUCCCCGGCUGUCCCCAAAUAUCGCCAGAACCUUUCCCCACACCUCAGCCCUUGA
Molecule: non-coding RNA, 426 nt
Organism: Oenanthe melanoleuca
Lineage: Eukaryota; Metazoa; Chordata; Aves; Passeriformes; Muscicapidae
Source: the annotation of a RefSeq genome assembly